GUGCCAGUAGCUCAGCUGGAUAGAGCAACGGCCUCCUAAGCCGUAGGUCGUGGGUUCAAAUCCCGCUUGGCACGCCA
This 77-nucleotide transfer RNA is filed under the name Fusibacter sp. A1. RNAcentral describes it as "tRNA-Arg". It matches the Rfam family "tRNA". Rfam says of the family: Transfer RNA (tRNA) molecules are approximately 80 nucleotides in length. Their secondary structure includes four short double-helical elements and three loops (D, anti-codon, and T loops). RNAcentral also lists the same sequence under 1 other name. Lineage: Bacteria; Bacillati; Bacillota; Clostridia; Eubacteriales; Fusibacteraceae. The record is from RNAcentral.